Molecule: small nuclear RNA, 110 nt
Filed under: Physeter macrocephalus (sperm whale)
Lineage: Eukaryota; Metazoa; Chordata; Mammalia; Artiodactyla; Physeteridae
Description: Physeter catodon (sperm whale) U2 spliceosomal RNA (ENSPCTG00005003689.1)
Rfam family: U2 spliceosomal RNA
About the family: U2 is a small nuclear RNA (snRNA) component of the spliceosome (involved in pre-mRNA splicing). Complementary binding between U2 snRNA (in an area lying towards the 5' end but 3' to hairpin I) and the branchpoint sequence (BPS) of the intron results the bulging out of an unpaired adenosine, on the BPS, which initiates a nucleophilic attack at the intronic 5' splice site, thus starting the first of two transesterification reactions that mediate splicing.
Source: Rfam by way of RNAcentral
AUCACCUCUUGGGAUUUUGGCUGAGAUCAAGUGUAGUAUCUGUUCUUAUUACUUCUAUAAGUUUUGAAAAAUGAAUAAAUAAAUGAAUACUGGCAGAAUCAAGAACUAUU